CGAGCGAAGCGAGAGAACGUUGCGUCAGCAACGGCCCGCAGGGCGAGCCACGCAGUGGCGAGUCAUCCUCUAUCACCGGCAG
This 82-nucleotide small RNA is filed under the name Salmonella enterica. Its description in RNAcentral is "partial RtT sRNA". It matches the Rfam family "RtT RNA", at positions 49 to 130 of the family's 130-position model. From Rfam's summary of the family: This family represents a bacterial cis-regulatory element known as RtT RNA. The exact function of RtT is unknown although it is thought that it may be involved in changing the cellular response in relation to amino acid starvation. RNAcentral also lists the same sequence under 2 other names. Lineage: Bacteria; Pseudomonadati; Pseudomonadota; Gammaproteobacteria; Enterobacterales; Enterobacteriaceae. The record is from RNAcentral.